Molecule: ribosomal RNA, 334 nt
Filed under: uncultured Methylobacterium sp.
Lineage: Bacteria; Pseudomonadati; Pseudomonadota; Alphaproteobacteria; Hyphomicrobiales; Methylobacteriaceae
Description: bacterial SSU rRNA
Rfam family: Bacterial small subunit ribosomal RNA
Source: RNAcentral
UUCGCCCUUAGAGUUUGAUCCUGGCUCAGAGCGAACGCUGGCGGCAGGCUUAACACAUGCAAGUCGAACGGGCUUCUUCGGAAGUCAGUGGCAGACGGGUGAGUAACACGUGGGAACGUGCCCUUCGGUUCGGAAUAACUCAGGGAAACUUGAGCUAAUACCGGAUACGCCCUUAUGGGGAAAGGUUUACUGCCGAAGGAUCGGCCCGCGUCUGAUUAGCUUGUUGGUGGGGUAACGGCCUACCAAGGCGACGAUCAGUAGCUGGUCUGAGAGGAUGAUCAGCCACACUGGGACUGAGGCACGGCCCAGACUCCUACGGGAGGCAGCAGAAGGG